AUGGCCGACUCCCCGCGCCGGAGGUACACAAGGCCCUCAAGGUCCCCUUCUCCUUAUAAGGGACGCCAAAAGCAAAUGUCAAGGUCAAGAUCACCUGUAGCUCAAUCCCAGUCUAGAUCUCCAUCGCCUGAUCCUAGAGCUCAGGCGAGGUCACGAUCUCGAAGCCCUGCGAGGGAGCGGGAGCCUGAAGCUGUAAAUCAUGGAAAUACUCUGUACAUUACUGGACUUUCUUCUAGGGUGACUGAUAAAGAACUUAGAGAGUACUUCAAUAAGGAAGGAAAGGUGGUUUCUUGCCAUGUUGUUCUUGAACCCCACACCCGUGUUUCUCGUGGAUUUGCUUUCAUCACCAUGGACACUGUUGAAGAUGCUGAACGCUGCAUCAAGUAUCUUAACCAGUCAGAACUGCAAGGCCGGAACAUCACAGUUGAAAAGUCACGCAGAGGCCGCCCAAGGACGCCUACUCCUGGGAGCUAUCUGGGCCAUCGCUAUGAGCGUAGAGAGAUGCAGCGUGGAGGUAGAUUCCGCAGAGGAGGCUAUGGUCGUGACGACUACUAUGGCAACAGCUACCGCAGGUCUCCGCCUCCCAUGUACCGAGACUACAGGGACACCCGGGACUACCCUCCCUACAGGGACACCCGCGACUACUCCCCACCCCACAGGGAUGCCCGAGACUACUAUGACGGGAGGGGUGGUCGGGGCUACUCCCCCCACAGAUCUCCCCCUCCUUAUGGUGGCAGGGCAAGAAGGGAGAGGUCUAGGUCGCUGCCCUAUUCCCCGUACCGGAUGCCCGAAAGGGGCUACGGCCGCCGUGCUGGCGGCGGAGGCUAUGACAGGUAA
Molecule: ribosomal RNA, 837 nt
Filed under: Triticum aestivum (bread wheat)
Lineage: Eukaryota; Viridiplantae; Streptophyta; Magnoliopsida; Poales; Poaceae
Description: partial small subunit ribosomal RNA
Source: RNAcentral